CACCUGGGAUGUGAUCAGCUGGAGGGAACUGCAUUGUGCUCUACAUAUAUAUAUGUGCUCUAUACAGGUGGGAUAAACCUGGCUGUAGAGGUGCCCAUCACUCCUGCACUUUCCCCUCAGGUGCUUAGGGGAUACUGAUCUUCUCCUCUCCGUAACAGCCGCUCUCAGGAAUAGUCAUUGGACUUACUGUAAAACAGGUUAAAAGCAAGGUGGGACUGCUGAAAUUAUCCCCAGGUAGUGGGUAGAGUAAGCCUGCUUGACGUGAACCAAGAAAGUCCACAGUGCAACAAGUGGCAUGCCUGAAACCUUGAGAUGCCUCAAGCAGACAUUGUUUUCCAAACAUACUGAGUUCUCAGCAUCAGGUCUGUUGGGUGGCUGGAGUGCAGUAGGUGUGCUGCUGGAGUGUGGAGCUUCUUCCCAUUUAGUUUUGUCACCCAGUCUGUGAGCCUCAAGGCUGUUUGAAGUGCAACCAAAGCAUGAGCCCAGGAGAGAAAUCUCAGCAUCAUGCCAAUGCAAGAGUUUUGUUAUCCCUUCUCUUGGGAAAAAGGGAAUUUGUUGGAAGGCAUACAGCUAUUCUCCCCCAUGGUUUGAAGGCUUGACUUGACCUGGUCUGCUGCACUUUUUCCUGUCCUUUACUGGGGUAAUGCUGAAUGAGACCUUGCAGCAGUAGAUCUCAUUGAGAUGAAUGUGUUCAUAUUACUGAACUUCAGAAGACCAGAAUACAUCAGAUAAAUGCCAUGCUGUCAAUCUAUCUUUGAAAAAAAUGUAGUCUUGAAUAAUUUGAAAAAUAAAAAAAAGAAUCUAGGAAUACAAUAUUAUCAGAUAAUCUCAUGAUCUGGGGUGGUAUAGAACAACAUUAAGGUGUAUGCACAUUAGCCUCUCCUUCCUGAGACUGCUCCAAAAAGUCACAUUCACAGGCAACACCACAGUUCUAUGUAAAGUUCUGAAAAAGAAGCUCUGCUAUGUAAGGGAAGAAGAUGGUGGCAGAACAAAACAAUGAAACAACAUGAUGAGAUAAUUGUUAAUUUUCUAAACUUAGUUGUUUUGUUUCUACUGAUUAUUGACCAUGUCAGAUUACUGAUGCCAUUUCCACAUACCCCAGCUCUAAUUCUCAUUGCAGCUUUUGCUCUCUUCCAAAGGAAGAAAUACUGUAAGGGUGAUAAGUGACUUUUUUGACAAAUGUAAGGUUCUCAAUAGAAAGGGAAGCGUUCUCUAUCAUUUAGAGUGAAAUUUUAGUGUAGCAAAUGUCUGAAAAGUCAUCAUGUAUUCAUGGUGACUACUGUAUUGUAAAGUAUGGCAUUUGCCCCACUAAGGGCUGAGUUUCUUGGUCAUGUGGCUAGGUUUACAGUAUGGAUGUUCACAUUACUGAUAAUGUCCUUCAGACGCAUUAGAGAUUUGGUAUAGCUGGUCUAGACUUGCAGUAAGUAAUAGGUGCCAUAAAGUGGCUUCAUUGUGGGAGAAAAGCAGUGGCCAAACUGCUGAAAUGAAGCAGCAAUGAAAUUGUGGAAAAAAAUGAAAUGUAGAAAGGUGCUUUUGCUGGUGUUUCUGUUGAGAGGGUGGACAUCAGAUAAAAAUGAUAUGCUAUAUGUAUAGUGCUAGAAAAAAUCAACAGCACUGGCUGUGGAAAAAAUGUGUUGUCAUCAAAAGAGAAAUUUAUCAAGUCAGUGAUAUUAGCAGCAUUACUCCAUGGACUUGAAACUACAGCUUUAAAUGAAAUAGAUAUGCAGUAAAGCUACGAGUUCUUCAAGAAGUGUCCGAUGUAAAGAAAAAACUUCUUAAGACAAAUAUGUCAGAGGGAGAACAAAGUAUGAAAUCAGAAUAUGUAACAACUACAGUGGUGGAAACUCGAGAGAUGAUAAAUUGUGAAAAGAUGGGUAGAAACCUAUUAAAGCAAGCAGUUGAGUGUGGUCCAAUUUGAAGAUGCCCAUUGUCUACAGGGAUACAAGCGGACUGAGCAAAAUGGAGGAGCAAUACCAGGAUCUGAGAGAAAAAAUGACUCUGAACUGUUCCUGGCACCUGCAAAUCUGCUUCAGAUAAAAAGAAAAACAGACCUGCUGGCACCCAGACUAGCAGGAGAGUAUUUUAUACCUUUAUUUUCUAGUUAGAACUCAUCCGUAAUUACAUUUCUCAUUUCUGUGGUAUUUUCAGCUGGUAAAGUAGCCAUUUGUCUGUGGCCCCCAUGACCCAGACACUGUAUCAGUCUCCAGCACUGGACUCCUCCAUCACCAGAGCCUGGAAGCAGAAACCUCUGAAAAAUUCAGCCACACAGCAAAAAAACAGGAACAAGAUAACAGGAAAUGGGCUGGGCUGGAGAUACCAUGGGUUAGUUUCCCAGAUUAUCACCACGCAUGGUGGCUGGAGGUAGCACAAGCAAAUGCCUCCCACGGGGAUCUGCCCCAUCACUCAGGCUCAUGGCUCCAGACUGAUGGCAGAAGGUAGCUAUGGACACCGUGUGGGAGAGGGUAAGUGUGUCUGGCCAAGGGUGGCAGUACACAGCUUGUCAGGUCUUCUUCUGUAACUGCUGCAUCACAUGCUUCCACUCCACAUUUCUGCUCAAGGGAAAAUCUGCCAUGGCAGUGGGCAGUGCUAAGUGUUAUUAGAGCAGUUAAUGCAUUGAAAAACUACUCCUGAGCUUCCCUUGUGGUAUCUUCCCUGUGUUAUAUAGCAUCUUGUUCAGUGUUUACUGACAGUUGCAGAUUUUAGAAAAGCAUGCAGUAAUUACAGUGUAUUAUCAUUAUCUUUAAUUCUGAUAUGUGGCUUAUCAUAAAACUCCUCUUAAACAAUUUCUUGUUUUUCCUGAAGUGUGGCUGCAAAUGACAUCAUUUGCGUGUGAAAUUCAGUUGGAUAUGGUAACACCUUGUAAAAUACUUUAACAAGACAGAAAUGCUUAAAUAAAGUUUGGGUUUGGUUUCAAAGAUCUUCUCUUUAGGAGCCUGCAGUAAAUUCAAACCCCAGGUUGACACCCAGUUCUCUAUAUAAAUUUAGUUUUCCAGUGUUAACAUUUCUUCAUGGUGCAAUUUAAUUGCUUUACAAGGAAAGACUACAAUAGUGCUAUAUCUAUGAUGGCUUUCCCUAGCUUUUGGAAAAUAUAUGGUUUUACAAUUAGGCAACAGGGAUGCUCUAGUGUGUCACAUAUUUGGGUUUGUUAAAUCCAUU
Long non-coding RNA from Cygnus olor (mute swan), 3156 nucleotides. RefSeq lists it as uncharacterized. NCBI's taxonomy places the organism in Eukaryota, Metazoa, Chordata, Aves, Anseriformes, Anatidae. The transcript has 5 exons. The record is from RefSeq and is a predicted model, not a curated record.